CGCCGCCGGCCCCAUGCACCGGCAGGACCAGGGCCAACACCAUCCAGUCCACCAGGUUCGGGGACGUGUCCAAGGAGAUCAAGCGGGUGCGGAAGCAGAUGGAGGAGGACGAGCAGCUGGCCUCCCUCAUGCGCGGCCUCCACGGCCAGAACCUCCGCGACGACAAGGCUGCAUGUGAAAGAAAGCGAACUUGAGCCAAGGUGAUGGUGAUGGAAAUGAAUGAAAGAAAGAGAAGCUGGAUGCCUACCACAAAGAUGAGCAGAGAGCAGGGGAGUUCACUGGAAUGGAGCCGCUGGUGGCCUGGCCGUAGCCGUGGAGGAGGUGGGGGCGGAGGAGGAGUUGAGCGCUGGCCAGGGUCAGGCGGGGCAGGAGGUGAGCGCUGGCCUGGAGGAGCCCGGCGGAGAAGCAGGGGCGACGAGGGGCCUGGCGGAGGGGCAAAGAGGAGCGCUGGCCUGGAGGAGCCUGGAGGAGGGGCAAAGAGGAGCGCUGGCCUGGAGGAGCCUGACGGAGGGGCGCUGGCCUGGAGGAGCCCGACGGAGGGGCGCUGGCCUGGAGGAGCCCGACGGAGGAUGGAGGAGUC
This is a long non-coding RNA of Triticum aestivum (bread wheat), 580 nucleotides long. RefSeq lists it as uncharacterized. The record is from RefSeq and is a predicted model, not a curated record. NCBI's taxonomy places the organism in Eukaryota, Viridiplantae, Streptophyta, Magnoliopsida, Poales, Poaceae. The transcript is spliced from 4 exons.